Molecule: unclassified non-coding RNA, 317 nt
Filed under: Hevea brasiliensis (rubber tree)
Lineage: Eukaryota; Viridiplantae; Streptophyta; Magnoliopsida; Malpighiales; Euphorbiaceae
Source: RNAcentral
AUAAAGGCAUUUCAAUGUUGUUGUGGAAGCGAAUCUUGCCGAGAUGUGAAAACAAAAAGGCGCAGGAAUUCAAUCACACGCAGAUGAGGUGACCAGUAGAGAAAUGAAUACACAUCGGUGAUGGAUUUAGCAGCCUAACACCUUCAUGCAAUGAUCCAUAAUGGUGGUGGUUAGCAAAUAGAAUUGGUUAAUUAAAGAACUUAGGAGACAAUCACGUUUCGAGUUAAAAGAUUCACAGCAUUGUAGAUUGUAGAGGGAAGGGGUAGUUUUUGGGUCACGCAUCUAAUUGGGGUGGGUUGUUUUGGAGACGAAUGCGU